GACGAACGCUGGCGGCGUGGAUUAGGCAUGCAAGUCGAACGGUAUCAUCCUUUCGGGGGUGAGAGAGUGGCGAACUGGUGAGUAACACGUAGGUUAUCUACCCUCAAGACGGGGACAACCCAGGGAAACUUGGGCUAAUACCGGAUGUGAGCAACUUUUAGUUGUUUGAAAGGUGGCGUAAGCUGUCGCUUGGGGAUGAGCCUGCGUCCUAUUAGUUAGUUGGUGAGGUAACGGCUCACCUAGGCAAUGAUAGGUAGGCGGCCUUAACGGGUGGUCGCCCACACUGGGAUUGAGAUACGGCCCAGACUCCUACGGGAGGCAGCAGUCGAGAAUAGUCUACAAUGGUCGGAAGACUGAUAGUGCGACGCCGCGUGAACGAUGAAUCCCUUCGGGGUGUAAAGUUCUUUUAUAUGUGAGCAGUGCUUCUUAUAUUAACAGUAUGGGGAGAGAGAUAUUAGCAUAUGAAUAAAGCAACGGCUAACUCCGUGCCAGCAGCCGCGGUAAUCUCG
RNAcentral lists this ribosomal RNA (509 nucleotides) under uncultured bacterium. Its description in RNAcentral is "bacterial SSU rRNA". It matches the Rfam family "Bacterial small subunit ribosomal RNA", at positions 28 to 527 of the family's 1533-position model. The record is from RNAcentral.